RNAcentral lists this ribosomal RNA (506 nucleotides) under uncultured bacterium. RNAcentral's name for it is "partial 16S ribosomal RNA". It matches the Rfam family "Bacterial small subunit ribosomal RNA", at positions 29 to 523 of the family's 1533-position model. The record is from RNAcentral.
AGUGAACGCUGGCGGUAGGCCUAACACAUGCAAGUCGAACGGCAGCACAGGAGAGCUUGCUCUCUGGGUGGCGAGUGGCGGACGGGUGAGGAAUACAUCGGAAUCUACUCUGUCGUGGGGGAUAACGUAGGGAAACUUACGCUAAUACCGCAUACGACCUACGGGUGAAAGCAGGGGACCUUCGGGCCUUGCGCGAUUGAAUGAGCCGAUGUCGGAUUAGCUAGUUGGCGGGGUAAAGGCCCACCAAGGCGACGAUCCGUAGCUGGUCUGAGAGGAUGAUCAGCCAAACUGGAACUGAGACACGGUCCAGACUCCUACGGGAGUCAGCAGUGGGGAAUAUUGGACAAUGGGCGCAAGCCUGAUCCAGCCAUACCGCGUGGGUGAAGAAGGCCUUCGGGUUGUAAAGCCCUUUUGUUGGGAAAGAAAUCCAGCUGGCUAAUACCCGGUUGGGAUGACGGUACCCAAAGAAUAAGCACCGGCUAACUUCGUGCCAGCAGCCGCCGUAA